RNAcentral lists this microRNA (21 nucleotides) under Pteropus alecto (black flying fox). RNAcentral describes it as "pal-miR-7b-2-3p". Its record names the gene pal-miR-7b-2-3p. The record is from miRBase by way of RNAcentral. Lineage: Eukaryota; Metazoa; Chordata; Mammalia; Chiroptera; Pteropodidae. RNAcentral also lists the same sequence under 2 other names.
CAACAAGUCACAGCUUCCUCA